RNAcentral lists this transfer RNA (73 nucleotides) under Candidatus Amphrikana amoebophyrae. Its description in RNAcentral is "tRNA-Trp". It matches the Rfam family "tRNA". Rfam says of the family: Transfer RNA (tRNA) molecules are approximately 80 nucleotides in length. Their secondary structure includes four short double-helical elements and three loops (D, anti-codon, and T loops). The record is from RNAcentral. Lineage: Bacteria; Pseudomonadati; Chlamydiota; Chlamydiia; Parachlamydiales; Simkaniaceae.
GGGUGUGUAGCUCAGUUGGUAGAGCAUCGAUCUCCAAAGUCGACGGUCGGGGGUUCAAGUCCCUCCGCACUCG